GUGUUGUACAAAAGGAGAGAAGGUUAGCACUCCACUUGACAAGGAUGGAAGAGGCUCUUGGGCCUGAGAACAUGCAUACUGUUAAAGCAUUGCCACCUAAUUCAUGGCAUCUAACCACUGUUUUUA
Small nuclear RNA from Cervus hanglu yarkandensis (Yarkand deer), 126 nucleotides. Lineage: Eukaryota; Metazoa; Chordata; Mammalia; Artiodactyla; Cervidae. The record is from Ensembl.